GUGGGGACAUCCUCAUGGAGAGGGAGUCAGGGAGGAGGUAUGGGGUGUGGAACACUUGGAGGAUGGACCAUGAGGGGGAAAAUAUCUGGAAAAUAAGUAAAAUGAAAAAAAAAAAAAAACACUAGGCGAAAUCAAGUUAAAAAAAAUAGAAAAAAAAAAGAAAAAGACAUUCAUCUAUUCACUAAAUCUCCAUGUCUUUUGUGUUUCCCUGAAAUAAUGGUGCCUUUCGAGAGUCACAGAAAUAAUUGGUUUCUAGUUGUGGUGAUAAUUCCUUUUGGCUCUGUGGGAUGUUGACCCUUGUAGCUUACUGUUGUUUAUUACUUUGCUGUAUAGUACAUAAUCUACAGUGAAGAUUCAUCUUCUACCUGAAUAGUCUGUGAAAACCCUGACUCCCAACAUUUGUUUUUCUGUUUAGAAAUGACUGCAUUACUUGUGUAAAUAUCUUGUUGAGCAUUUGAUCCUACAACGUUUUAAUUAACAGUGAAUGAGAAUGGACUGAUCCAUGACUGAAGAUGUUGGAAGAAGUCAACAAUUUUGUCAGUCAUCUUUGUACUGCAGACUACUUUCUCAGUUAGCAAUGGCCACAGAUGGAAAGGGAGGAGGGCAAAAUACUGUGUUUCAGUGACUCUACCUAGAAGUUACUUUUCAUUCUCAGGAAAUUCUCUGUGGCUGGAAGUAUUUUGGUAAAACUGUGAUCUUCUUUUUCUCAGUAUCAUUGAACAAUGAUCCUGCUGAAUGAUUCUUCAAUGCAUGGGACAGACACCUUUCAAAUCUCUUCGAUUCCAGUGUCAUUUCUUUGAAUAUUGAGAAAGAUUUACUAGACCCUAGUUUAACAAACUUGUUUAUAAAAUCCUAAAAAAAAAUCUCAAUUUAUAUUUUUAUGACUUUUAACAAUAAAGACAUUAAUUGUCAUCAUAUACUUUCGAUUUGCCACUGGUGUUUGUUUCAUCCAAUUUAGAUGUUCUCAAGAUCUAGCUUGUUUCAUCUUAUGUAUGCAGUUGGUCUCUCUAAAUUUGUAUAGUCUACACACCAGGGCAAGUGAAACAUAUUUUGAUUCAUUUAAAAAAUGUCUGGAGCAGCUACUACUUUGACAUUAAAUGUACGGUGGUAAAAAUUUACAUUUCCUGUACACAAAUUUCUAUCUUCAGGAGAUGAAACAGAUGACAUAUUUAAGUAUAAUAAACUACGAAACAAGUUUUGCUUCAGGUACAACAUAUACCAUAAAAGCCAAGUAUAGAACAAUAGGUACCAAAUGUCUCUAUGUUCAUCUUCUUCAGCACUUG
This 1283-nucleotide long non-coding RNA is filed under the name Mus musculus (house mouse). Its description in RNAcentral is "long non-coding RNA chr15:18905810-18907093". Lineage: Eukaryota; Metazoa; Chordata; Mammalia; Rodentia; Muridae. The record is from RNAcentral.